GCUGGGCAUGGUGGUUUAUGCCUGUAAUCCCAGUGGCUCAGGAGGCUAAGGCAAGAGGAUCACAAGUUCAAAGCCAGCCUCAGCAACUUAGCAAGACCCUGUCUUAA
This 107-nucleotide small RNA is filed under the name Marmota monax (woodchuck). The record is from RNAcentral. Lineage: Eukaryota; Metazoa; Chordata; Mammalia; Rodentia; Sciuridae.